GAAAAGUGUACACUAUAUGGAUCUUGUAAUAACGUCAUCAAUUCCUCAUGUGGCUGCAUCAACACUCUUCCAAAUGAUGGACACUUUUGCCAACCAAUCAGUGAGCUGAAUAACUCUACAUGCCCAGCUGAACCACUCUCAGCUGAUUAUCUGAUUGAGUUUGAGAUUAGUGCAGUAGAUGAAACAGUCCUGAAUCAAGUGAGGAAUAUUCUGGAGACAACCAGUUUACCAUUAAUAUAUAGAAACAUCAAUAUCACUGACAUUAACGUCA
Molecule: long non-coding RNA, 271 nt
Organism: Hemibagrus wyckioides
Lineage: Eukaryota; Metazoa; Chordata; Actinopteri; Siluriformes; Bagridae
Exons: 3
Source: RefSeq, a predicted model, not a curated record